Molecule: long non-coding RNA, 170 nt
Organism: Coturnix japonica (Japanese quail)
Lineage: Eukaryota; Metazoa; Chordata; Aves; Galliformes; Phasianidae
Source: RefSeq, a predicted model, not a curated record
GAGUGCCUCAGCAGUUCCCAGCAGACUGAAGACUUCCAUGUGGAAACAGCACUUGGCAGGCAAAUAGCAUCUCUCCAUUACAGUACUAUGAACUGAAACACCAGCCACUCAUUUCACAGACCAAAGAUCAGGACUAACUGAAGUCAAUGUGAAGCUAACCAGGAAAGCAG